RNAcentral lists this ribosomal RNA (823 nucleotides) under Lactiplantibacillus plantarum. Its description in RNAcentral is "bacterial SSU rRNA". It matches the Rfam family "Bacterial small subunit ribosomal RNA", at positions 67 to 856 of the family's 1533-position model. The record is from RNAcentral. Lineage: Bacteria; Bacillati; Bacillota; Bacilli; Lactobacillales; Lactobacillaceae.
CGACUCUGGUAUUGAUUGGUGCUUGCAUCAUGAUUUACAUUUGAGUGAGUGGCGAACUGGUGAGUAACACGUGGGAAACCUGCCCAGAAGCGGGGGAUAACACCUGGAAACAGAUGCUAAUACCGCAUAACAACUUGGACCGCAUGGUCCGAGUUUGAAAGAUGGCUUCGGCUAUCACUUUUGGAUGGUCCCGCGGCGUAUUAGCUAGAUGGUGGGGUAACGGCUCACCAUGGCAAUGAUACGUAGCCGACCUGAGAGGGUAAUCGGCCACAUUGGGACUGAGACACGGCCCAAACUCCUACGGGAGGCAGCAGUAGGGAAUCUUCCACAAUGGACGAAAGUCUGAUGGAGCAACGCCGCGUGAGUGAAGAAGGGUUUCGGCUCGUAAAACUCUGUUGUUAAAGAAGAACAUAUCUGAGAGUAACUGUUCAGGUAUUGACGGUAUUUAACCAGAAAGCCACGGCUAACUACGUGCCAGCAGCCGCGGUAAUACGUAGGUGGCAAGCGUUGUCCGGAUUUAUUGGGCGUAAAGCGAGCGCAGGCGGUUUUUUAAGUCUGAUGUGAAAGCCUUCGGCUCAACCGAAGAAGUGCAUCGGAAACUGGGAAACUUGAGUGCAGAAGAGGACAGUGGAACUCCAUGUGUAGCGGUGAAAUGCGUAGAUAUAUGGAAGAACACCAGUGGCGAAAGGCGGCUGUCUGGUCUGUAACUGACGCUGAGGCUCGAAAGUAUGGGUAGCAAACAGGAUUAGAUACCCUGGUAGUCAUACCGUAACGAUGAAUGCUAAGUGUUGGAGGGUUUCCGCCCUUCAGUGCUGCAGCUAAC